AGCUGCCUGGUGAAGAGCUGUCU
Molecule: microRNA, 23 nt
Filed under: Lingula anatina
Lineage: Eukaryota; Metazoa; Brachiopoda; Lingulata; Lingulida; Lingulidae
Description: Lan-Mir-22-P1_3p (mature (guide))
Source: RNAcentral